RNAcentral lists this long non-coding RNA (1943 nucleotides) under Anas platyrhynchos platyrhynchos (common mallard). RNAcentral describes it as "lncRNA (ENSAPLG00000024536.1)". Lineage: Eukaryota; Metazoa; Chordata; Aves; Anseriformes; Anatidae. The record is from RNAcentral.
AUGGUAUGUAAUAACUGGGCGUACCUUUCCCAAAGUCAAACAAUCAACAAAGUCAAACAAUUUAAAGUCUUCCUAUCUGAUUUCACAGCAAGGAAACAGGGUUCCCCUUCUUCCUUAAGCCUCAUGCAUCAGGGUUAUAGAUCAGUGGCUUAUGUCAGAUCUAACUGGUACAAAGACCACGUGUGGGGGAAGAAGAGUUUCACUCCUUAACACUGGUCUGCAUCUCUACCUGCCUCUUUAGGGAUGCCUUUCUGACAGACUGAAGACUGUCCUUCCUGAAAAGGAGAAGAACAGGGUGAAAGUGGGAUGAUGAUAAACCAUUGGGGACUGCAGAGUUAUCUAGCUCAUUCUCAUUUUUACACUGCUGCCCCCAGUACUCAGAUUUGGUAAUGUUAUGGUUGCUCAGGCAUCUUUGUGCUAUAUUGCAGUCACUCCUGAGUAUUUGGAUUCAUUUGUCAAAGGCUAAUGUGAUAGAGAAGCCCAUGAAGUAUAAAGAAAAACAUCAGCUGUACAUCGACUGUACAUAAACCAUAUUUGUCAUUUUGGUGGCUGCAUUAUAUUAGCGGGUAUACCAAUCACAUCUCUCAGAUUUUUCUUCUCACUAUUUAUUAUUUCAAAUUAGUAAAUUCCCACCAUUGGCUUAAAUGCAGGACCUUGCACUUCAAACUAUCCACUGUCACAACAAGAGGCUUAAAAUAGUACGAGAGUGGUUGGAUUAGGCCAGUACUUUAUCAUGUUCUUUCCACUUGAAGACUUCCUCUUUAAGCAGCUGUGUCUAGGUCUUGUCUCACUUCUGGGUACAUGAAGCAAUCUCCAAAAACUUGAACUAAAUCUAAGUCUAAAUUGUCCAAAAUGCAGUACUAAUUUUGUUUGCACUGAAAAUAUUUUAAUAGCAGAACUUAAAGGAAAAAAUAAUCCACAGAUGACGUAAGAGGAAUAUGUAUCCAUCUAUUCUAAUAAUGGCAUUCUUUUUAUCAAACUUUAGUCAUUUAAGUCUGAGCUAGUUGUGUUGGUUCCCUAUACAACUGCCAGAGAGACAAUGGCACCUCUCCAGGACAAUGUAUCACUCAUGUUUUAGGCACUUGUUUUAGGAUCCAGUGAAGUGUUUCCUAUCAGUGCCUGCUUCUUCCUUUCCACCGAUUAUCAAAUGAAACCGCAUGAGCAGAAUAGCCCCAAAGGAUACAGUUAAAAUCAGGUGAAACGAGGCUUUCUUUACUGUGUAUCAAAAUUAAAAACAAUAUUCCCGUCAGUGACUGAAAUGGCUGGGUACACGAAGGACAAUGUGCUGCACUUUUCUGAAAAUUAUGCAUAGAUAUUAGCACUUUUCUGACCAUUAUAACAAGAGUGGAUUUCGUGUUCCUGUUUCCGUUUGACCACCAGCUCUAAUAUAACCCAUGCCAUGAGACAAAUUUCAGCAUUGAUAGAAAAACACAGGAUGUUUGAAACAUAUUUUUUUUUCCAGAAGCACAUGUUUUCGAGAAUGUUCCUUACAAGCAUUGCUGUAAUUCCAAGCAGGAACAAGAGUAAGUUUGGUAAUUCUGAUUUCCUACAAGGGAGAGAUCUGAUCAACUGAUGUCGAAAAUGGCCCUCUGAGAUGGGAAAUUGCCUCUGGCCAAUCCUACAUUACCGUCUGUCCUUAUAUCAGACCGAUCCUGUUUUGUAACACCUCGCGCUGAAAAAAUAUGGUCUUUUAGCAGAUUGGUGGGGCUAAACAAUACUAUUGUUUUUGUGCUUGUUUGUCACACAAGGUCAUGGAGAGAGAUUGGGAGUUCCUGAGAACAGGAGGAGCUCUGGAACAAAUUAAAACUAGAAUUUCUAAAAAGGAAGGAAUUUGAUGGGAAGGGCCAAGACAGAAGGAUUAAUUAGAUUCAAGAAGGUAUGCUGACUUUCAAGUAGUCUGGCCUGGAAAUAAAACAGACAAGGAAGUGAGAAAGAAUAGAAAA